GGCCCAGGCGGCGCCCGCCAUGAACGGGCUGUCGUUGAGUGAGCUCUGCUGCCUCUUCUGCUGCCCGCCCUGCCCCGGCCGCAUCGCUGCCAAGCUCGCCUUCCUGCCGCCGGAGGCCACCUACACCCUGGUGCCUGAGCCCAAGCCGGGGCCUGGUGGGGCCGGGACCGCCCCCUUGGGGACCCUGCGGGCCUCCUCGGGCGCACCGCACCCGGGCGCAGGAAGCUGCACCUGACGGAGCAUACCGACUUCCAGUACAGCCAGCGCGAGCUGGACACCAUCGAGGUCUUCCCCACCAAGAGCGCCAGCGGCAACCGCGUCUCCUGCAUGUAUGUUCGCUGCGUGCCUGGUGCCAGCUUCUACAUUGGCCUGGGCUCCCGCCUCCACUGCAACAUCUUCUCCUACGACUACUCCGGCUACGAUGCCAGCUCGGGCAGGCCUUCCGAGAGGAACCUCUAUGCCGACAUCGACGCCGCCUGGCAGGCCCUGCGCACCAGAGCAUCGGCACGGUGCCCACCGUGGACCUGGCCUCGCGCUACGAGUGUGCCGCGGUGGUGCUGCACUCGCCGCUCACCUCGGGCAUGCGCGUCGCCUUCCCUGACACCAAGACGACCUACUGCUUCGACGCCUUCCCUAACAUCGAGAAGGUGUCCUAGAUCACGUCGCCCGUGCUCAUCAUCCACGGCACGGAGGACGAGGUGAUCGACUUCUCGCACGGGCUGGCGCUCUACGAGCGCUGCCCCAAGGCGGUGGAGCCGCUGUGGGUGGAGGGCGCCGGGCACAACGACAUCGAGCUCUACAGCCAGUACCUGGAGCGCCUGCGUCGCUUCAUCUCCCAGGAGCUGCCCAGCCAGCGCGCCUAGCGGCGGCCCCAACCGGCCGGACCUCAGCAAUAAGGCGGCCCCCGGACCUCACCCCGCGCCGGCCCCCCAGGGGCUGCAUGUGGACCCCCCGGGCGGCCCGGGGGACCCCGCCCCGACCCAGGGGCUGUGGACGAUGUACAGGCAACAGAGCUACGCACUCCUUUCCUUUUGGAAGCAAGAAGAAAAUACGUGAAAACGGAAAUUAAAGAUUUAAAAU
RNAcentral lists this long non-coding RNA (1080 nucleotides) under Homo sapiens (human). Its description in RNAcentral is "non-protein coding lnc-CDRT15L2-7:2". The record is from RNAcentral. Lineage: Eukaryota; Metazoa; Chordata; Mammalia; Primates; Hominidae.